RNAcentral lists this unclassified non-coding RNA (614 nucleotides) under Hevea brasiliensis (rubber tree). The record is from RNAcentral. Lineage: Eukaryota; Viridiplantae; Streptophyta; Magnoliopsida; Malpighiales; Euphorbiaceae.
GGUUGCCUGUAAAUUUCACACUUUGAGUCCAUGUAAUGCUUGUGUCCAUGCCCAAGCAUGGAACCAACUUUCAAGGAUAUGAAAUUUUCAGUACUAUAGAUGAAGCUGCUCAUAAAACUAACAGAAACUACCACUAAAGUGGUUCACAUUUCCCAUAUUCCAAUAAUUUUAUUAAGCAAUUCUCUAAUCAAUAACUUAAAUUCUUUCAUAAGCCGACUAUUAUAAUCUCACCAUACCAAAGAACAGCAUGACUUCUAUGUGCAUUAUACUGUUUAACACUUCUCCACCAAUCUUUUUUAGGCACCUCAUACAUUACCCAUACCAUGGUGCUGCAAGGAAGACUAAAAACUAUACUAAUAGACGUGUGAUCAGUUGAACAUUUAAUGUUGACUGGAAAUUUUAUGGAAUAAAGACUAAAUUAAUCUGAGUUAUUUUUUAAUGUCUAGAUAGACCCUAAAAUUUUUACUUGGCCCGAUUAGCACAAAGCGUCUAUUUUACGGUCAUUUUGACCCGAUUAAUGACAAGGUCGAGUGUCAAAUACAAGCACAAGUGAAUUAAUUAGAACGAAUCAUUAAUAUUAACAGCUGGAUUUUAAGGAAAAAUGCUAUUCUUAA